This 566-nucleotide ribosomal RNA is filed under the name uncultured Bifidobacterium sp. RNAcentral's name for it is "bacterial SSU rRNA". It matches the Rfam family "Bacterial small subunit ribosomal RNA", at positions 146 to 712 of the family's 1533-position model. Lineage: Bacteria; Bacillati; Actinomycetota; Actinomycetes; Bifidobacteriales; Bifidobacteriaceae. The record is from RNAcentral.
UCUCCUGGAAACGGGUGGUAAUGCCGGAUGUUCCACAUGAGCGCAUGCGAGUGUGGGAAAGGCUUUUUGCGGCAUGGGAUGGGGUCGCGUCCUAUCAGCUUGUUGGUGGGGUAACGGCCUACCAAGGCGUUGACGGGUAGCCGGCCUGAGAGGGCGACCGGCCACAUUGGGACUGAGAUACGGCCCAGACUCCUACGGGAGGCAGCAGUGGGGAAUAUUGCACAAUGGGCGCAAGCCUGAUGCAGCGACGCCGCGUGCGGGAUGGAGGCCUUCGGGUUGUAAACCGCUUUUGUUCAAGGGCAAGGCACGGUUUCGGCCGUGUUGAGUGGAUUGUUCGAAUAAGCACCGGCUAACUACGUGCCAGCAGCCGCGGUAAUACGUAGGGUGCAAGCGUUAUCCGGAUUUAUUGGGCGUAAAGGGCUCGUAGGCGGUUCGUCGCGUCCGGUGUGAAAGUCCAUCGCUUAACGGUGGAUCCGCGCCGGGUACGGGCGGGCUUGAGUGCGGUAGGGGAGACUGGAAAUUCCCGGUGUAACGGUGGAAUGUGUAGAUAUCGGGAAGAACACCAA